CUACCUUUAACCUUGGAAUAACGAUUGGAAACGAUCGCUAAUACCGAAUGAGGUGACUGUAGUACGCUACAGUUUAUCAAAGUGGGGGACCUUCGGGCCUUGCGGUUGAAGAAGAGUUCAUGGGAUAUCAGCUUGUUGGUGUGGUAAAGGCGCACCAAGGCUAAGACGUCUAGGCGGACUGAGAGGUUGACCGCCAACACUGGGACUGAGACACUGCCCAGACUCCUACGGGAGGCUGCAGUCGAGAAUCAUUCACAAUGGACGAAAGUCUGAUGAUGCGACGCCGUGUGAGCGAUGAAGGCCUUCGGGUUGUAAAGCUCUUUCGCAAGGGAACAAGAGAAGAAGACGAAUAAUCUUCUGAUUUGAGGGUACCUUGUAAAGAAGCACCGGCUAACUCCGUGCCAGCAGCUGCGGUAAUACGGAGGGUGCAAGCAUUAAUCGGAAUUAUUGGGCGUAAAGAGCGCGUAGGCUGUUUUUCAAGUCAUUUGUGAAAACCUCAGGCUUAACUUGAGGACUGCAUAUGAAACUGAAAAACUUGAGUGCAGUAGGGGAAAGUGGAAUUCCUGGUGUAGCGGUGAAAUGCGCAGAUAUCAGGAAGAACACCGGUAGCGAAGGCGGCUUUCUGGGCUGCUACUGACGCUGAGGCGCGAAAGCUAGGGGAGCAAACAGGAUUAGAUACCCUGGUAGUCCUAGCUGUAAACGAUGGACACUAGGUGUGGGGAGUUAUCGACGCUUUCCGUGCCGGAGCUAACGCAUUAAGUGUCCCGCCUGGGGAGUACGGUCGCAAGACUAAAACUCAAAGGAAUUGACGGGGGCCCGCACAAGCGGCGGAGCAUGUGGCUUAAUUCGACGCAACGCGAAGAACCUUACCAAGGCUUGACAUCAUAU
This 888-nucleotide ribosomal RNA is filed under the name marine bacterium enrichment culture clone M07-G4-S5. RNAcentral's name for it is "bacterial SSU rRNA". It matches the Rfam family "Bacterial small subunit ribosomal RNA", at positions 126 to 992 of the family's 1533-position model. The record is from RNAcentral.